RNAcentral lists this long non-coding RNA (462 nucleotides) under Anas platyrhynchos platyrhynchos (common mallard). RNAcentral's name for it is "lncRNA (ENSAPLG00000026506.1)". Lineage: Eukaryota; Metazoa; Chordata; Aves; Anseriformes; Anatidae. The record is from RNAcentral.
AUGGCGGCGCCCUGCCCUUGGUGGGUCCCCGGUGGGGGUCGUGCAGGCGGCCGGGCUUCGGGGACGGGUGUGUGUGCCCCCGAGGGGCCGGAGCCGGAGCGUGUGUUUCCAAGCCAAGGAGGAGUCGGUUUGGGAGAAGGCUGCGCGAGGGUGCCGCGGUGCGGUGCUGGUAACGGCUGCCUUCAGGUCACCUGGCAAGGGAUGAGAUCCUUCACAUCUUAUAAAACAGGGGGUCCUGGUGGAGGAGAGUGGCACAGAUUACUUGUAGCACCCCAGGAAAGGAUUCAGCUUCUUAGGCAUUGCUGCAGGCAGUACUCAGUUGGGUCAUGGCAAGCCCCCUGGCCACAUCUCCAGCAUCAGAGCACCACCAGUCAGGAGCAACACACCUUGACUGUAGCCCAGGUGCCUUUACCUUGUAUAGGAAAUGUAACCUUGAUCCAUAGAAGAUUGACAAGGUGUUAG